UUAAUUCGAAGCAACGCGAAGAACCUUACCAGGUCUUGACAUCCCGAUGCUAUUUCUAGAGAUUGAAAGUUACUUCGGUACAUCGGUGACAGGUGUGCAUGGUUGUCGUCAGCUCGUGUCGUGAGAUGUUGGUUAAGUCCCGCAACGAGCGCAACCCCUAUUGUUAGUUGCCAUCAUUCAGUUGGGCACUCUAGCGAGACUGCCGGUAAUAAAUCGGAGGGAAGGUGGGGAUGACGUCAAAUCAUCAUGCCCCUUAUGACCUGGGCUACACACGUGCUACAAUGGUUGGUACAACGAGUUGCGAGUCGGUGACGGCGAGCUAAUCUCUUAAAGCCAAUCUCAGUUCGGAUUGUAGGCUGCAACUCGCCUACAUGAAGUCGGAAUCGCUAGUAAUCGCGGAUCAGCACGCCGCGGUGAAUACGUUCCCGGGCCUU
Molecule: ribosomal RNA, 434 nt
Filed under: uncultured Streptococcus sp.
Lineage: Bacteria; Bacillati; Bacillota; Bacilli; Lactobacillales; Streptococcaceae
Description: bacterial SSU rRNA
Rfam family: Bacterial small subunit ribosomal RNA
Source: RNAcentral